CCAUAUAGAGAGAGAGUUGUGACAACUCCAUUGACUCCAAUGGAACGCUUUUUUUACAGCAAUGGCGGCUUGUGGAGCCUCUCAAUAGUUCCCGGAAGUAGCAGUAAACCGAUGCCGCGCCGUAGAGAUGCAGCAGAACAAACCGUUUGCGACGCACUUUUAAUAGGUAAGACGAUUAAUGGUUCUUCACCACAGGACUGUUCUGUGAUGGAGCAUCAGUAAUGAUGCAGGUCAGGAGUACUGAGGGGACCAUGGUGAGAAUGAAAACAAAAGCCUCAAUCCUCAACCUCAGCCGUAUAAAUCUUUUGGAGAUUUUUCCUUCUACUCCACAGCAUGAUGGAAGCCUGCUGGAGAGUGACUGAGCUUCUUUCUCCAACACAUCCACUGCAUUGGGGAGCUCCAUGAGGUAGGAACUACUCUUGGACCUAAAUAGUUUCUCAAUUUGUUGGGUGAAGUCAUAGGCUUCUUGGGAGGGACGACAAAGAGCACCUGCCUUGAAUUCUUUUAAGUUUAGUAAGAUACUGUUAUUUCCAGCAGGAUUGUCAUCAGUUUGCCGUGUUGCAGUUUUGCAUUUUCCACAGAUGCUGGCAAAUCUGAUUAAUUUGUGGACAAUGUAGCCUGCGAGAUGGAAGAGAAUACAUUUCUCUGUUUUUGUGAGGUCAGGUGCUGUUUUGUUCUCCACCAUCAGCUGUUCCACUCUGACUGAUGGAGUGACGUUUUGUUUCACUGUUUCCAGGAAGUCUGCCAAAAAGCUACUGUCAUCGUCCUGGUAGCUCCCAGACGUGAUGGUGGUGAGGAACUGCCCUACUGAUAUGAUUCUCAGUGCAUGAUGGAAUUCCACUGGAGUUGACUUCCAAACUCCCUUAUGACCAAUCUUCAUCCCAUAGAAUAGAUGGAUGAUAUCCUGUAGGAAGAUUAUGGCCUUUUCAUACUCCUCUAUCUUGACCCUGCUCAGUGUUGUAAUUGGAUGGCGAGAUGACAUAAGAUCAAAGCAAUGAUCCACUUGCUCCAGGAACCACGCUGUAGUCAGGUAGGAGAGAGGGCGGUUUUCUUGCUGCACCAUAUACUUCAGUCCAGCACUUGUUGCCUUACUAAAUACAUUAAGAGCAGGACCAACCUUCAUUUUUUCAAAGUGGCUUGGCUCAAUGGCUGCAGCUGAUAGAUGGGGAGCUACUUUUAAUGCCAUCCCUUCUUGAAAGGACAAUAAGUCCUUAAUAGGGACCACUGAAACCUCAUUGGAAGGUAGGUUCUCUUUGUUAACCACAUUCUUUGGAAUUGUUAACACCUGUCCACGGACAAGGGCACUUUUUAGAUUUUUCACCAGAUGUGGGACAUCAGGCAUGAAAUGGAGACACCUAUUCGGUGUCGUUGGAUGCGGCACAGAUGUUUUGGUGUGGUCGACCCCAAAGGAUUUCCACAUGGCCUGGUUAGGGCUACCCAUAUCGGUGGUGACAGCAAGCACAUGUAGCCCUAUGGAUGCUGCCCUCUCUAUUAAUUCUGUAAUUAUUGGCUUGUAUUCUGAUCCAUUGGUAGAAUUGCCACUGUAAUGAUAUCCCACUACUUGUUUCCAGCGAGUUGUGUUUCCAGCCAACAUAAACACACAAGCAUGUGUUGCUACUCCUGUGUGACCUGGCAAAGUGACAUCACCAUAGAGUUUGCCUGUCAGCAUGUGCAGCUCAACACUUGGAGUGAUUGCCAUUUCAUCCAAGGACAGCACACACUCCCUUUCAAGGGUUCUGAUCGCUGGCAAGGGAAUUUGCAAUUCCUGUAGGGUCUUGUAACCAGUUGGACCGGCUGCAAAGCGAAUUUUCAAUGCCUUCUUAAUUGUUUCAUUGCUCCAUUUCAUACCUUUUGUGGUUCGUCUUCCUAAUGCCAUAAUUUGGUCUUUUUACAAAAAUUUCUUUAAAAUGUUGUCCCUAAUUUUAAUUCUUUUUUUGAGAGCUGCAUUUUCAUUCAUUAUUUUUCUUAGUGCUGCCUUUGCAUUUUUUGAUAUUUUUUCUUGUCUCUUCAAUUUUUUUAAUAGACCCAGGUAACUGACUGAUGGUUCACUGGAAUGCUGACUGACUUGCUGCAUGCUGACUGAGUAGUGUCACCUGUCCCUGUCUGUCCUCUCUAGCAAUGUCCUCUAUUUCUUCACUGUCACUUUCCCUUCUCUGAGUGUCCUCAUUCUUUUUUUCCUCAACCUUUGAAACUGAUAGAGGCAGAAUACAUUGUAUUGCUAAUUUUAAAUAUUGAAAAUAUCACAUCACUUCAAAAUUAGAAAUAUUACUUCAACUAGUAUGAGUUUGUACUUAUUAUAUAUAUAUAUAUCACCUGUAAUACUAUAGCUGUGAUCAACAUUGAUUUGCUGUAUGUCUACAGGUCUAAGGGUGCAUCGUGGAGCAGGGGCACUCCUCUUUUUGACCACAGGACGAUGCACAAAGAUUGUGGGAAUAGCAUCUGGUCUCAGCCUACUCUUGAAUUUUUUGGUCAUGACAAAUUGGUUUGCCUCAAAAUGUGCCUGCAGAGUAACUUGAGUUUAGUUUCCACACAAAACUUUUUUUUUUUUGUCUACCCACAUAUACUGUACAUAUCACAUGGUGGUUAAAUGCACAGUUAUAGGUAACACUAAUGACUCCCUCCAAUGUCUCACCAAGUCUCAUCUCCCUGGGUUUUGCAAGGCUUUGCUUGUUCCUUAUUUCCAGUAAAUAAUUUUCCAUGUAAAAAGUGCAAAUAAAUUUAAGUAUAAUUACCUCACAAAUUUUUUUGUUGUUGUAAUUUUUAUUUAGAUUUAGAUUGCUCCUGCUGACUUGAGCCAACCAUUUUUUUCUCCUCUCCAUGUCAGCGGGGAAGCCAUACAUUCGCACACCUUUCUCUGACUGAGUAUCCCCAUGCAGCACAGCAAACCAUGUUGGAGACUAUGCAAGGACAACAUGAAAGAAAGGACACAUACAAAAUGCUUGGCAUGCUAUUAAAUUUAUUAGGAAUGUAUUCAUGAAUUCCUUUAAAUAGUUAAUUGCAUUUAUUUGAAUAAAAAUACAAAGAAAAAGUAAUCUCAUAAUAUAUAAUUACAAUUUAAAAUAACUGUUUUCUAUUUUAAAAUGUAAUUUACUCCUGUGAUGCCAAGCUAAAUUUUCAGCAUCAUUACUUUUGAAUGGCAGUGUACAUGUUUAUAUAUGAGUAUGCUUAAGUUGUUUUAAACCUGAAUAUAUUGUGUAUAUGAAUAAGUAUUGUAAGAAUUAUACAUUAGAUAAAUAAUAUCUAUAAUACACAAUUAUAUUACUAUAUGUAAUUGUAUGAAUUGUAAACAAUAAGCUUCAUUUUACAUUUACUUAACAUGCUAAUUACUGCUGCUUAUAGUUAAUUCACCCAUUGUGCGGUGUGAGCUGAAAAUCACCUGUCACCAGCCUGUCUCUGUACUAUCUGAAAGUCAUAAAGUCAUCAAUAUGACAUUAGUUAACAUGAGAUCAGUGAAAAAAAGAAUAAUGUGUAACAUAAAAAGGCAACAGCAACCCGUGUUUAUACAACUUAACGUUAGCCUGAAAUGAGUUUUUAAAAUAA
This is a long non-coding RNA of Carassius carassius (crucian carp), 3540 nucleotides long. RefSeq lists it as uncharacterized. The record is from RefSeq and is a predicted model, not a curated record. Lineage: Eukaryota; Metazoa; Chordata; Actinopteri; Cypriniformes; Cyprinidae. The transcript is spliced from 5 exons.